Long non-coding RNA from Ceratina calcarata, 205 nucleotides. RefSeq lists it as uncharacterized. The transcript has 2 exons. NCBI's taxonomy places the organism in Eukaryota, Metazoa, Arthropoda, Insecta, Hymenoptera, Apidae. The record is from RefSeq and is a predicted model, not a curated record.
UCUUAUAUAGUGUCAUACUGUACAUUGUAACAACAUUCAUUUUUUACUUCUACUUUUUCCCUGCAUCAUUAUAUGACCAAAUAUUCUAUAUCAUUCCACUAUUAAUUUUUCCAUUACUAAUAUUGUUUACGAAAAAGAUGGUCACGUGGUACUACAAACGUAAAAUUUCGGAAAAUCAAGAAAAAUUAAGUACUAUGCAAUUAGA